ACGAUAGACGAGAGUCCGCGAUCACAGAGAAACAUUUCAACGGCCGCGGAUAUUCUAACCGUGCAAAGGUAGCGUAAUCAUUUGUCUUCCAAAUAAAGACCAGUAUGAAUGGCUAAAUGAGGGCAAACCUGUCUCCUGUACCCAAUCAGUGAAAUUGAUCUCCUGGUACAAAAGCCAGAAUAAUUACAUAAGACGAGAAGACCCUGUGGAGCUUAAAAUUUACAACUACUUAAAAACUAGUAACAAUUUUAAGUUGGGGCGACUUCGGAACAAAACAAAACUUCCGAGCUAGGAGUUAACUCACUCCAAAUAAGGCCAACAAGCCAAUUAAACCGACCCAGUCACACUGAUCAACGAACCAAGUUACCCCAGGGAUAACAGCGCAAUCCCCUCCAAGAGUCCAUAUCGACAAGGGGGUUUACGACCUCGAUGUUGGAUCAGGACACCCUAAUGGUGCAGCCGCUAUUAAAGGUUCGUUUGUUCAACGAUUAAUAGUCCUACGUGAUAUG
This 509-nucleotide ribosomal RNA is filed under the name Ablepharus kitaibelii. RNAcentral describes it as "partial 16S ribosomal RNA". It matches the Rfam family "Bacterial large subunit ribosomal RNA", at positions 1884 to 2607 of the family's 2925-position model. Lineage: Eukaryota; Metazoa; Chordata; Lepidosauria; Squamata; Scincidae. The record is from RNAcentral.